Molecule: long non-coding RNA, 247 nt
Filed under: Ananas comosus (pineapple)
Lineage: Eukaryota; Viridiplantae; Streptophyta; Magnoliopsida; Poales; Bromeliaceae
Description: long non-coding RNA (ACOM_LNC029383)
Source: RNAcentral
GCAUUCUAAAAUUCACUCCAACGCAUUAACGACAUGACCAACAUUAUUAAACCAUACCCAAUUCAGCGAAAACUACUUAUGUUUCCAUCCUCACUCCAACGCAUUAUGUCGUCGGCCGCUCGACACAACACCAAGAGUAGAGAACAAACAUCAAUUCAACUUAGUCCCUAACCACAUUAGAGACAUCCUAACUUAACCCAAUCACAUGCGUUCGCUAACUUUAAUACAACGUCGCUCACGUUUCCUA